GAUGAACGCUGGCGGCGUGCCUAAUACAUGCAAGUCGAGCGAACAGAUGAGGAGCUUGCUCCUCUGACGUUAGCGGCGGACGGGUGAGUAACACGUGGAUAACCUACCUAUAAGACUGGGAUAACUUCGGGAAACCGGAGCUAAUACCGGAUAAUAUAUUGAACCGCAUGGUUCAAUAGUGAAAGACGGUUUUGCUGUCACUUAUAGAUGGAUCCGCGCCGCAUUAGCUAGUUGGUAAGGUAACGGCUUACCAAGGCGACGAUGCGUAGCCGACCUGAGAGGGUGAUCGGCCACACUGGAACUGAGACACGGUCCAGACUCCUACGGGAGGCAGCAGUAGGGAAUCUUCCGCAAUGGGCGAAAGCUUGACGGAGCAACGCCGCGUGAGUGAUGAAGGUCUUCGGAUCGUAAAACUCUGUUAUUAGGGAAGAACAAAUGUGUAAGUAACUAUGCACGUCUUGACGGUACUUAAUCAGAAAGCCACGGCUAACUACGUG
RNAcentral lists this ribosomal RNA (497 nucleotides) under uncultured bacterium. RNAcentral describes it as "partial 16S ribosomal RNA". It matches the Rfam family "Bacterial small subunit ribosomal RNA", at positions 28 to 507 of the family's 1533-position model. The record is from RNAcentral.